RNAcentral lists this ribosomal RNA (499 nucleotides) under uncultured bacterium. RNAcentral describes it as "bacterial SSU rRNA". It matches the Rfam family "Bacterial small subunit ribosomal RNA", at positions 903 to 1397 of the family's 1533-position model. The record is from RNAcentral.
AAAGGAAUUGACGGGGGCCCGCACAAGCGGUGGAGCAUGUGGUUUAAUUCGACGCAACGCGAAGAACCUUACCAGGGUUUGACAUCCCCUGACAGCCGAGGAAACUUGGUUUUCUACCUUCGGGUAGACAGGGUGACAGGUGGUGCAUGGUUGUCGUCAGCUCGUGUCGUGAGAUGUUGGGUUAAGUCCCGCAACGAGCGCAACCCCUACGUUUAGUUGCUAACGCGUGAAGGCGAGCACUCUAAAGGAACUGCCGUUGACAAAACGGAGGAAGGUGGGGAUGACGUCAAAUCAUCAUGCCCCUUAUGUCCUGGGCUACACACGUGCUACAAUGGCCGGUACAAAGGGCAGCGAAGUCGCGAGGCGGAGCUAAUCCCAAAAAGCCGGUCUCAGUUCGGAUUGCAGGCUGAAAUUCGCCUGCAUGAAGUCGGAAUCGCUAGUAAUCGCAGGUCAGCAUACUGCGGUGAAUACGUUCCCGGGCCUUGUACACACCGCCCGU